RNAcentral lists this ribosomal RNA (372 nucleotides) under uncultured organism. Its description in RNAcentral is "partial 16S ribosomal RNA". It matches the Rfam family "Bacterial small subunit ribosomal RNA", at positions 527 to 896 of the family's 1533-position model. The record is from RNAcentral.
GUAGGUGGCAAGCGUUGUCCGGAAUUAUUGGGCGUAAAGCGCGCGCAGGCGGUUCUUUAAGUCUGAUGUGAAAGCCCACGGCUCAACCGUGGAGGGUCAUUGGAAACUGGAGAACUUGAGUACAGAAGAGGAAAGCGGAAUUCCACGUGUAGCGGUGAAAUGCGUAGAGAUGUGGAGGAACACCAGUGGCGAAGGCGGCUUUCUGGUCUGUAACUGACGCUGAGGCGCGAAAGCGUGGGGAGCAAACAGGAUUAGAUACCCUGGUAGUCCACGCCGUAAACGAUGAGUGCUAAGUGUUAGGGGGUUUCCGCCCCCCUUAGUGCUGCAGCUAACGCAUUGAGCACUCCGCCUGGGAGUACGGCCGCAAGGCUG